RNAcentral lists this ribosomal RNA (350 nucleotides) under Salmonella enterica subsp. enterica serovar Worthington. Its description in RNAcentral is "partial 23S ribosomal RNA". It matches the Rfam family "Bacterial large subunit ribosomal RNA", at positions 842 to 1190 of the family's 2925-position model. The record is from RNAcentral. Lineage: Bacteria; Pseudomonadati; Pseudomonadota; Gammaproteobacteria; Enterobacterales; Enterobacteriaceae.
GAGAUAGCUGGUUCUCCCCGAAAGCUAUUUAGGUAGCGCCUCGUGAACUCAUCUCCGGGGGUAGAGCACUGUUUCGGCUAGGGGGCCAUCCCGGCUUACCAACCCGAUGCAAACUGCGAAUACCGGAGAAUGUUAUCACGGGAGACACACGGCGGGUGCUAACGUCCGUCGUGAAGAGGGAAACAACCCAGACCGCCAGCUAAGGUCCCAAAGUCAUGGUUAAGUGGGAAACGAUGUGGGAAGGCCCAGACAGCCAGGAUGUUGGCUUAGAAGCAGCCAUCAUUUAAAGAAAGCGUAAUAGCUCACUGGUCGAGUCGGCCUGCGCGGAAGAUGUAACGGGGCUAAACCAU